RNAcentral lists this transfer RNA (63 nucleotides) under Campodea lubbockii. Its description in RNAcentral is "Campodea lubbocki tRNA-Leu". Lineage: Eukaryota; Metazoa; Arthropoda; Diplura; Rhabdura; Campodeidae. The record is from RNAcentral.
CUAAUGUUGGCAGAACAAUGCAAAGGAAAUAAACUCCUUCUUAUAAAUUUUAUUUACUUUAGA